CGGGGGACAGAGUGACAGGUGGUGCAUGGUUGUCGUCAGCUCGUGUCGUGAGAUGUUGGGUUAAGUCCCGCAACGAGCGCAACCCUUGAUCUUAGUUGCCAGCAUUCAGUUGGGCACUCUAAGGUGACUGCCGGUGACAAACCGGAGGAAGGUGGGGAUGACGUCAAAUCAUCAUGCCCCUUAUGACCUGGGCUACACACGUGCUACAAUGGA
This 213-nucleotide non-coding RNA is filed under the name Neobacillus niacini. RNAcentral describes it as "Bacillus niacini partial 16S ribosomal RNA". It matches the Rfam family "Bacterial small subunit ribosomal RNA", at positions 1020 to 1234 of the family's 1533-position model. The record is from RNAcentral. Lineage: Bacteria; Bacillati; Bacillota; Bacilli; Caryophanales; Bacillaceae.